GGGUGUGUGAUCUAGUGGUAUGAUUCUCGCUCUUGGCGCAAGAGGUCUCGAGUUCGAUUCUCGACUCAGCCC
This 72-nucleotide transfer RNA is filed under the name Perkinsus olseni. It matches the Rfam family "tRNA". Rfam says of the family: Transfer RNA (tRNA) molecules are approximately 80 nucleotides in length. Lineage: Eukaryota; Perkinsozoa; Perkinsida; Perkinsidae. The record is from Rfam by way of RNAcentral.